Molecule: ribosomal RNA, 550 nt
Filed under: uncultured bacterium
Lineage: Bacteria
Description: bacterial SSU rRNA
Rfam family: Bacterial small subunit ribosomal RNA
Source: RNAcentral
UAGGGAAUCUUCGGCAAUGGACGGAAGUCUGACCGAGCAACGCCGCGUGAGUGAAGAAGGUUUUCGGAUCGUAAAGCUCUGUUGUAAGAGAAGAACGAGUGUGAGAGUGGAAAGUUCACACUGUGACGGUAUCUUACCAGAAAGGGACGGCUAACUACGUGCCAGCAGCCGCGGUAAUACGUAGGUCCCGAGCGUUGUCCGGAUUUAUUGGGCGUAAAGCGAGCGCAGGCGGUUAGAUAAGUCUGAAGUUAAAGGCUGUGGCUUAACCAUAGUAUGCUUUGGAAACUGUUUAACUUGAGUGCAAGAGGGGAGAGUGGAAUUCCAUGUGUAGCGGUGAAAUGCGUAGAUAUAUGGAGGAACACCGGUGGCGAAAGCGGCUCUCUGGCUUGUAACUGACGCUGAGGCUCGAAAGCGUGGGGAGCAAACAGGAUUAGAUACCCUGGUAGUCCACGCCGUAAACGAUGAGUGCUAGGUGUUAGACCCUUUCCGGGGUUUAGUGCCGCAGCUAACGCAUUAAGCACUCCGCCUGGGGAGUACGACCGCAAGGUUG